GCUGCAGAGGCCGUCCGAGUUGUAAUCUAGAGAAGUGUCUUCCAGUGCCAUGCCGUGUACAAGUCUCCUGGAAGGGAGCAUCAUAGAGGGUGAGAAUCCCGUCUGUCGACACGGAACGUUGCGUACUUUGUGAUGCACUCUCGACGAGUCGAGUUGUUUGGGAAUGCAGCUCUAAAUGGGUGGUAAAUUCCAUCUAAAGCUAAAUACAGGCGAGAGACCGAUAGCGAACAAGUACCGUGAGGGAAAGAUGAAAAGGACUUUGAAAAGAGAGUUAAACAGUACGUGAAUUUGCUGAAAGGGAAACGCUUGAUGUCAGUCGCGUCGGUCAGGAAUCAACCUUGCUCUCUUUGCUUGGCGGACUUCCUGGUCGACGGGUCAGCAUCAGUUUCGAUCCCGCCGUAGAAAGGCGAGAGUGAAUGUGGCACGCUUAGGUGUGUGUUUAUAGCCUCUCGUCCGAUGCGGCGGUCGGGACUGAGGAACUCAGCAACGUCGUUGCGUUGCUUAGGAUGCUGGCAUAAUGGCCUUAAGCGACCCGUCUUGAAACACGGACCAAGGAGUCUAACAUGCCUGCGAGUGUUCGGGUGUCAAAACUCGGUCGCGCAACGAAAGUGAAAGUCGAGACCUCUGUCGUGGAGGGCAUCGACGCCCGGACCGGAUGUCUUUCAG
This 666-nucleotide ribosomal RNA is filed under the name Tylopilus neofelleus. RNAcentral describes it as "LSU rRNA". It matches the Rfam family "Eukaryotic large subunit ribosomal RNA", at positions 124 to 783 of the family's 3401-position model. Lineage: Eukaryota; Fungi; Basidiomycota; Agaricomycetes; Boletales; Boletaceae. The record is from RNAcentral.